This 655-nucleotide ribosomal RNA is filed under the name uncultured bacterium. RNAcentral's name for it is "bacterial SSU rRNA". It matches the Rfam family "Bacterial small subunit ribosomal RNA", at positions 163 to 807 of the family's 1533-position model. The record is from RNAcentral.
CUAAGACCGCAUAGGUGUAGAGAUCGCAUGAACUCUAUAUGAAAAGUGCUACGGGACUGGUAGAUGAUGGACUUAUGGCGCAUUAGCUUGUUGGUAGGGUAACGGCCUACCAAGGCGACGAUGCGUAGCCGACCUGAGAGGGUGACCGGCCACACUGGGACUGAGACACGGCCCAGACUCCUACGGGAGGCAGCAGUAGGGAAUUUUCGGCAAUGGGGGAAACCCUGACCGAGCAACGCCGCGUGAAGGAAGAAGUAAUUCGUUAUGUAAACUUCUGUCAUAGAGGAAGAACGGUGGAUAUAGGGAAUGAUAUCCAAGUGACGGUACUCUAUAAGAAAGCCACGGCUAACUACGUGCCAGCAGCCGCGGUAAUACGUAGGUGGCGAGCGUUAUCCGGAAUUAUUGGGCGUAAAGAGGGAGCAGGCGGCACUAAGGGUCUGUGGUGAAAGAUCGAAGCUUAACUUCGGUAAGCCAUGGAAACCGUAGAGCUAGAGUGUGUGAGAGGAUCGUGGAAUUCCAUGUGUAGCGGUGAAAUGCGUAGAUAUAUGGAGGAACACCAGUGGCGAAGGCGACGAUCUGGCGCAUAACUGACGCUCAGUCCCGAAAGCGUGGGGAGCAAAUAGGAUUAGAUACCCUAGUAGUCCACGCCGUAAAC